Dermacentor albipictus is the source of this 619-nucleotide long non-coding RNA. RefSeq lists it as uncharacterized. Lineage: Eukaryota; Metazoa; Arthropoda; Arachnida; Ixodida; Ixodidae. The record is from RefSeq and is a predicted model, not a curated record.
UCAUACGCCGCUUCGAAGGUCAGUUUCACUUUUUCAUGGUCCCGCAGCAGCGUCAAAAACAGGUGGUGGGGCUAGGAUAGUGAGCACGUCAAGCACAUUUGCACUUCAGCACUUCUACAGGACACUGCGCAGUUUGGAGCAGAGCGGGCUCGAAGGAAAGAAUAUCUUUGUGAUACGAAAGGCCUGAAAAUGACACUGCUGCUGUGGACUUUUGUGGGAAGCCUCUUCUUAGUUUGCGCAUCGAACAUAAUCGCCGAAGUGCGAGGGAUGACAACACCGGGAUCUCGGCCAGCAAGAGAGCGCGAUCUUAUGGGUGACUUUUAUGGCUGCGGUAACGUCUCACAGGGGUGCUUCGACAACAGUCAAUGCUGCGAGCACCUGCAUUGUUACAACAUGCGGUGUACCCCUUGGAUCCAUCGAUGAAAAAUCCGGGGUAAACCACCGAGGGCCGCUCAGAAAGUGGGGCUACCGCUGGGCGAAAAACAAUUGGGGAUACCUUCCCAACUAACCGGAAAAUGGCUUACAAUCUUGUCGACACCACAGGCCACUUGCCCUUUCUUCAUGCCCGAUAGUUAUAUGCUACAGUGGGUACGCCCGGAAUAAAAGUUUUUAAAGUGUC